Molecule: ribosomal RNA, 496 nt
Filed under: uncultured bacterium
Lineage: Bacteria
Description: partial 16S ribosomal RNA
Rfam family: Bacterial small subunit ribosomal RNA
Source: RNAcentral
GAUGAACGCUGGCGGCGUGCCUAAUACAUGCAAGUCGAGCGAACAGAUGAGGAGCUUGCUCCUCUGACGUUAGCGGCGGACGGGUGAGUAACACGUGGAUAACCUACCUAUAAGACUGGGAUAACUUCGGGAAACCGGAGCUAAUACCGGAUAAUAUAUUGAACCGCAUGGUUCAAUAGUGAAAGACGGUUUUGCUGUCACUUAUAGAUGGAUCCGCGCCGCAUUAGCUAGUUGGUAAGGUAACGGCUUACCAAGGCAACGAUGCGUAGCCGACCUGAGAGGGUAUCGGCCACACUGGAACUGAGACACGGUCCAGACUCCUACGGGAGGCAGCAGUAGGGAAUCUUCCGCAAUGGGCGAAAGCCUGACGGAGCAACGCCGCGUGAGUGAUGAAGGUCUUCGGAUCGUAAAACUCUGUUAUUAGGGAAGAACAAAUGUGUAAGUAACUAUGCACGUCUUGACGGUACCUAAUCAGAAAGCCACGGCUAACUACGUG